CGCCGCGGUUAUACGGGACAAUGGCCCAAGUUGACAGUAAACGGCGUAAAGGGUGGUUAAGGGACUAAAACAACAAUAAAGCCGAACACCCCUCCUGCUGUUAUACGCAAUCGGGGAUAGAGAAGAUCAAUUACGAAAGUAGCUUUACCCCUCCCCUGAACCCACGAAAGUCAUGACA
RNAcentral lists this ribosomal RNA (178 nucleotides) under Amblycirrhitus unimacula. RNAcentral's name for it is "partial 12S ribosomal RNA". Lineage: Eukaryota; Metazoa; Chordata; Actinopteri; Centrarchiformes; Cirrhitidae. The record is from RNAcentral.